UUUNCAAGUAUUGAACUGCUGCCUUGGU
This 28-nucleotide non-coding RNA is filed under the name Mus musculus (house mouse). Lineage: Eukaryota; Metazoa; Chordata; Mammalia; Rodentia; Muridae. The record is from RNAcentral.